This is a non-coding RNA of Pelobates cultripes (western spadefoot toad), 481 nucleotides long. NCBI's taxonomy places the organism in Eukaryota, Metazoa, Chordata, Amphibia, Anura, Pelobatidae. The record is from the annotation of a GenBank genome assembly.
GGCUUAGUAUGGCAUAAUUCCAAAGUCAGCUUGCCAACUGAAAUCCAUGUGUGUAUAGAAAGGUUUUCCUAGCGGCUUCCAAUACCAUCUGAAUAAACCGGAUGUGUCUUGGGUUGUUAUCAGGGAAGAUAUAUAGCUCUGGGGACAGUGGCACAGAGAAAUGUAGGCUGCCUCUAGAUAUGCUCGUACCUCCCCCAAAACACACGUGGACAACCUCAAAAGUAGUUCAGCAAGUCGAGUCCACCUAAGCAGUUUGAGGUCGACAGUUUCAUUCCAUAAUUUGGCGUCAGGUAAGCAGGCACUAGUGCUGUCCACCGGUGCAUCUCCUGGUAUAAAAGGACUAAAAUGAGUUUGGGUAAUUUAUUCGUAACUGAGAUAAUGUCAUCAUAGGUCCACGGCGAUGGGGCUUAGAUAUGCAUUAUGAUUUCCGCAUGGCCAUAAUGUUUUAAUAAUGUCAAAAACAUAAAAGCAAGUGUUAUAA